GAUGAACGCUAGCGGCAGGCCUAAUACAUGCAAGUCGAACGGUAAGGCCCUUUCGGGGUACACGAGUGGCGGACGGGUGCGUAACGCGUAUGCAACAUGCCUUCCAGCGGGGGAUAUACCAGGGAAACUUGGCGCAAUACCCCAUAGAAUUACGGGACCGCAUGGUCUUGUGAUUAAAACUCCGGUGCUGGGAGAUUGGCAUGCGUGACAUUAGCUAGUUGGCGGGUAACGCCCACAAGGCGACGAUGUCUAGCUGGUCUGAGAGGAUGAUCAGCCACACUGGGACUGAGACACGGCCCAGACUCCUACGGGA
RNAcentral lists this ribosomal RNA (313 nucleotides) under uncultured bacterium. RNAcentral describes it as "bacterial SSU rRNA". It matches the Rfam family "Bacterial small subunit ribosomal RNA", at positions 28 to 346 of the family's 1533-position model. The record is from RNAcentral.